UACGGAGGGGGCUAGCGUUGUUCGGAAUUACUGGGCGUAAAGCGCACGUAGGCGGCUUUGCAAGUCAGAGGUGAAAGCCCGGGGCUCAACCCCGGAAUUGCCUUUGAGACUGCAUCGCUAGAAUUGUGGAGAGGUAAGUGGAAUUCCGGGUGUAGCGGUGGAAUGCGUAGAGAUCCGGAAGAACACCGGUGGCGAAGGCGGCCUGCUGGGCAGUAGCUGACGCUGAGGCGUGACAGCGUGGGGAGCAAACAGG
RNAcentral lists this ribosomal RNA (253 nucleotides) under uncultured bacterium. RNAcentral's name for it is "partial 16S ribosomal RNA". It matches the Rfam family "Bacterial small subunit ribosomal RNA", at positions 524 to 776 of the family's 1533-position model. The record is from RNAcentral.